RNAcentral lists this ribosomal RNA (329 nucleotides) under uncultured eukaryote. RNAcentral describes it as "partial 18S ribosomal RNA". It matches the Rfam family "Eukaryotic small subunit ribosomal RNA", at positions 1470 to 1796 of the family's 1831-position model. The record is from RNAcentral.
CCCUUAGAUGUUCUGGGCCGCACGCGCGCUACACUGAUGCAUUCAACGAGUCUAAAACCUGCUCUGAUAGGGGUGGGUAAUCUUUUGAAUGUGCAUCGUGAUUGGGAUAGAUGAUUGCAAUUUUUCAUCUCCAACGAGGAAUGCCUAGUAAACGCAAGUCAUCAGCUUGCAUUGAUUACGUCCCUGCCCUUUGUACACACCGCCCGUCGCUCCUACCGAUUGAAUGAUCCGAUGAAUAUCAUGGAUUGAGGAUGCAAGUAGGUUAGCCUAUCUUCAUCUUCGAGAAGUGAAGUAAAUCUUAUCAUUUAGAGGAAGGAGAAGUCGUAACA